AGUUAAUGAGCUUGAAAAAUAAGCAUAUGUUUUGAAAACAUAAGAUAGAGUAUAGACCCCCUAUUAACUU
Molecule: transfer RNA, 70 nt
Filed under: Medetera sp. Qilemoge-2020
Lineage: Eukaryota; Metazoa; Arthropoda; Insecta; Diptera; Dolichopodidae
Description: tRNA-Ser
Source: RNAcentral